Molecule: ribosomal RNA, 253 nt
Filed under: uncultured bacterium
Lineage: Bacteria
Description: partial 16S ribosomal RNA
Rfam family: Bacterial small subunit ribosomal RNA
Source: RNAcentral
UACGGAGGGUGCAAGCGUUAAUCGGAAUUACUGGGCGUAAAGCGUGCGCAGGCGGUUUGUUAAGUCCGCUGUGAAAUCCCCGAGCUCAACUUGGGAAUUGCAGUGGAUACUGGCAAGCUGGAGUAUGGUAGAGGAAGGUGGAAUUCCCGGUGUAGCAGUGAAAUGCGUAGAGAUCGGGAGGAACACCAGUGGCGAAGGCGGCCUUCUGGGCAGUAGCUGACGCUGAGGCGCGACAGCGUGGGGAGCAAACAGG